RNAcentral lists this ribosomal RNA (484 nucleotides) under uncultured bacterium. RNAcentral's name for it is "partial 16S ribosomal RNA". It matches the Rfam family "Bacterial small subunit ribosomal RNA", at positions 30 to 507 of the family's 1533-position model. The record is from RNAcentral.
AUUGAACGCUGGCGGCAGGCCUAACACAUGCAAGUCGAGCGGAUGAAGGGAGCUUGCUCCUGGAUUCAGCGGCGGACGGGUGAGUAAUGCCUAGGAAUCUGCCUGGUAGUGGGGGAUAACGUCCGGAAACGGGCGCUAAUACCGCAUACGACCUGAGGGAGCAAGUGGGGGAUCUUCGGACCUCACGCUAUCAGAUGAGCCUAGGUCGGAUUAGCUAGUUGGUGGGGUAAAGGCCUACCAAGGCGACGAUCCGUAACUGGUCUGAGAGGAUGAUCAGUCACACUGGAACUGAGACACGGUCCAGACUCCUACGGGAAGCAGCAGUGGGGAAUAUUGGACAAUGGGCGAAAGCCUGAUCCAGCCAUGCCGCGUGUGUGAAGAAGGUCUUCGGAUUGUAAAGCACUUUAAGUUGGGAGGAAGGGCAGUAAGUUAAUACCUUGCUGUUUUGACGUUACCAACAGAAUAAGCACCGGCUAACUUCGUG